This 406-nucleotide ribosomal RNA is filed under the name uncultured bacterium. RNAcentral's name for it is "partial 16S ribosomal RNA". It matches the Rfam family "Bacterial small subunit ribosomal RNA", at positions 30 to 526 of the family's 1533-position model. The record is from RNAcentral.
AUUGAACGCUGGCGGCAGGCCUAACACAUGCAAGUCGAACGAGUGGCGGACGGGUGAGUAAUGUCUGGGAAACUGCCUGAUGGUGGGGGAUAACUACUGGAACCGGUAGCUAAUACCGCAUACCAUCAGAUGUGCCCAGAUGGGAUUAGCUAGUUGGUCGGGUAACGGCUCACCAAGGCGACGAUCCCUAGCUGGUCUGAGAGGAUGACCAGCCACGCUGGAACUAAGACACGGCCCAGACUCCUACGGGAGGCAGCAGUGUGGAUAAUUGCACCAUGGGCGCAAGCCUGAUGAAGUCAUGCCGCGUGUAUGAAGAAGGCCUUCGUGUGGUAAAGUACUUUCAGCGGGGAGGCGUUACCCGCAGAAGAAGCACCGGCUAACUCCGUGCCAGCAGCCGCGGUAAUUC